Molecule: ribosomal RNA, 253 nt
Filed under: uncultured bacterium
Lineage: Bacteria
Description: partial 16S ribosomal RNA
Rfam family: Bacterial small subunit ribosomal RNA
Source: RNAcentral
UACAGAGGUCUCAAGCGUUGUUCGGAUUCAUUGGGCGUAAAGGGUGCGUAGGUGGCGCCGUAAGUCAGGUGUGAAAUUUCGGAGCUUAACUCCGAAACUGCAUUUGAUACUGCGGUGCUUGAGGACUGGAGAGGAGACUGGAAUUCAUGGUGUAGCAGUGAAAUGCGUAGAGAUCAUGAGGAAGACCAGUGGCGAAGGCGACUUACUGGACUGUAACUGACGCUGAGGCAUGAAAGCGUGGGGAGCAAACAGG